This 284-nucleotide long non-coding RNA is filed under the name Mytilus galloprovincialis (Mediterranean mussel). Lineage: Eukaryota; Metazoa; Mollusca; Bivalvia; Mytilida; Mytilidae. The record is from RNAcentral.
GACUUAGGAAAAUAUCAGAUAUGAUUUCUGACACACUUUUGUCAUAAUGGCCAACCAGCUCAUGAUGGCGACCGUAAAUUUCUUGAGUUAUGACCUUAAUCUAUUUGAUUCAUAGCCCUGUCUAGAGGGGCUAAAUAUACCAGUGGAACAGCCAAACUCAUAAAUCGAAAAUAAACUGACAACGCCAUGGUUAAAGAUGAAAAAGAAAGGAAAAAAAAACAAAUAAUAGUACACAAGAAACAACAGAUAAUACCAAAGACUGAGCAACCCGACCAAACUAUGCA